ACGAACGCUGGCGGCGUGCUUAACACAUGCAAGUCGAACGAUGAAGCGCCAGCUUGCUGGUGUGGAUUAGUGGCGAACGGGUGAGUAACACGUGAGUAACCUGCCCCCUACUCUGGGAUAAGCCUGGGAAACUGGGUCUAAUACUGGAUAUGACCAAUCACUGCAUGGUGUGUUGGUGGAAAGAUUUUUUGGUGGGGGAUGGACUCGCGGCCUAUCAGCUUGUUGGUGGGGUAAUGGCCUACCAAGGCGACGACGGGUAGCCGGCCUGAGAGGGCGACCGGCCACACUGGGACUGAGACACGGCCCAGACUCCUACGGGAGGCAGCAGUGGGGAAUAUUGCACAAUGGGCGAAAGCCUGAUGCAGCGACGCCGCGUGAGGGAUGACGGCCUUCGGGUUGUAAACCUCUUUCACCAGGGACGAAGCUAACGUGACGGUACCUGGAGAAGAAGCACCGGCUAACUACGUG
RNAcentral lists this ribosomal RNA (468 nucleotides) under uncultured bacterium. RNAcentral describes it as "partial 16S ribosomal RNA". It matches the Rfam family "Bacterial small subunit ribosomal RNA", at positions 29 to 507 of the family's 1533-position model. The record is from RNAcentral.